This 451-nucleotide ribosomal RNA is filed under the name uncultured bacterium. RNAcentral describes it as "bacterial SSU rRNA". It matches the Rfam family "Bacterial small subunit ribosomal RNA", at positions 1052 to 1504 of the family's 1533-position model. The record is from RNAcentral.
UCGUCAGCUCGUGUCGUGAGAUGUUGGGUUAAGUCCCGCAACGAGCGCAACCCUUGUUAUUAGUUGCCAGCAUUAAGUUGGGCACUCUAAUGAGACUGCCGGUGACAAACCGGAGGAAGGUGGGGAUGACGUCAAGUCAUCAUGCCCCUUAUGACCUGGGCUACACACGUGCUACAAUGGGCAGUACAACGAGAAGCAAGCCUGCGAAGGCAAGCGAAUCUCUGAAAGCUGUUCUCAGUUCGGACUGCAGUCUGCAACUCGACUGCACGAGGCUGGAAUCGCUAGUAAUCGCGGAUCAGCACGCCGCGGUGAAUACGUUCCCGGGCCUUGUACACACCGCCCGUCACACCAUGGGAGUCUGCAAUGCCCAAAGCCGGUGGCCUAACCUUCGGGAAGGAGCCGUCUAAGGCAGGGCAGAUGACUGGGGUGAAGUCGUAACAAGGUAACCGUA